ACUCUGGCCCUCCAGCUGUUUGGGACUACAGUUCCCAUCAUCCCUAACUAACAGGACCAGUGGUCAGGGGUGAUGGGAAUUGUAGUCCCAAACAUCUGGAGGGCUGGAGU
This 110-nucleotide microRNA precursor is filed under the name Podarcis lilfordi (Lilford's wall lizard). The record is from RNAcentral. Lineage: Eukaryota; Metazoa; Chordata; Lepidosauria; Squamata; Lacertidae.